UCGCGGUUAAAAAGCUCGUAGUUGGAUUUCUGCUUGGGGCAACCGGUCCGCCCUCUGGGUGAGUAUCUGGCUUGGCCCGGGCAUCUUCUUGGGGAACGUUACUGCACUUGACUGUGUGGUGCGGAGCCCAGGACCUUUACUUUGAGGAAAUUAGAGUGUUUCAAGCAGGCAUUUGCCUUGAAUACAUUAGCAUGGAAUAAUAAGAUAGGACCUCGUCCCUACCUUGUUGGUUCGUAUGGAUGAGGUAAUGAUUAAUAGGGAUAGUCGGGGGCAUUCGUACUUAACUGUCAGAGGUGAAAUUCUUGGAUUUGUUAAAGACGGACUACUGCGA
Molecule: ribosomal RNA, 331 nt
Filed under: uncultured marine eukaryote
Lineage: Eukaryota
Description: SSU rRNA
Rfam family: Eukaryotic small subunit ribosomal RNA
Source: RNAcentral